RNAcentral lists this ribosomal RNA (253 nucleotides) under uncultured bacterium. RNAcentral's name for it is "partial 16S ribosomal RNA". It matches the Rfam family "Bacterial small subunit ribosomal RNA", at positions 524 to 776 of the family's 1533-position model. The record is from RNAcentral.
UACGGGGGGGGCAAGCGUUGUUCGGAAUUACUGGGCGUAAAGGGUGCGUAGGCGGUGCUCUAAGUCGGAUGUGAAAACUCUGGGCUCAACCCAGAGCCUGCAUCCGAAACUGGAGUGCUAGAGUUCUGGAGGGGGUAGCGGAAUUCCUGGUGUAGCGGUGAAAUGCGUAGAUAUCAGGAGGAACACCGGUGGCGAAGGCGGCUACCUGGACAGAAACUGACGCUGAGGCACGAAAGCCAGGGGAGCAAACGGG